Molecule: long non-coding RNA, 4009 nt
Filed under: Homo sapiens (human)
Lineage: Eukaryota; Metazoa; Chordata; Mammalia; Primates; Hominidae
Description: non-protein coding NALT1:21
Source: RNAcentral
GGACAGCCGUGUGCACCGUGCGCUGGGCCGGGCGGGGAGCAGCUGAGGCCACGUUGGGGGACCCCGGGCCCGGGGCAGGGCUCUGGGAGAGUGGCCUAGCCGUGUGUGCGCCCCUAGCCCAGCGGCUUCACUCCCUCCCGAGGGCCCCGUGGCCGCGGCUUUAGGCGUCCAGAGGAUCGAUCGCCGCCAGACAUCCCUGGCCGUGAUUGCCCGAGCACUUGACCGCGAGGGAUGGGGGCGCCGCGGCCUCUGGGCAGGGGACUCCGGGCGCCCCGAGGGAGCAGCCGGGACCAGUGCCUCGCGGACGGAUUGUGCCCCGCUCCCCCAAGGGGGACCCGCGUCGACACGCUCCUCGGUCACCGUCCUCCUCCUGCCCGGGCGCCGCCUGCCUAAGGUGGCCCCAGAAAGCACAAACGGGUCGGGCGGAUCUGCCGCUGGCGCCGGCGCAGCCCUUCCCACGUGCUCCUUCCGGCUGAUUUAUUUCUCCACCACGAUGCCAGGCACGGGCACCCUGUGCCAAGCCUGGUUAAGCGCCAGGAGUCCAAAAUGCCUGCCAUAGUCCCUGCGCAAAGUUCACGGCCUCGUGCCAGGGACAGACAGCGCCCCCUCCCCACCCCAACACAGGGUGGUGAGUGCGAUGGCAGAAGGCGCGUGUCCCGGCGCCCCUCCUGGAGUAGGAGGGCUAAGCCUGCCCUGCGGGGAGACCGAAAGGCUGGGAGGGACCUAGGACUGUGGGGGCCUGGGGGGAGGGCUGCAGAAACCCCAGAGCAUGGUGGCAGAGGCAGGCACAGAAAGCAGGACAAAUCUCACACCUGACCCCAGCAAGCCUUUCCUGGCACACCUCUUGCCAAAUGCUGAGCACUCUGGAAACAGCCAGUGCAGGCGGCCUGUCCCGCCCCUGUAGCUGCUGCUGGGAGCCUCCCUCGCCUGCGUCCUCCCAGAAUCUGGCCUCACUUCUGCAGGCCUGGGGUAACAUCUUGGGGUCAGCGCCCCAGGAGAGGAGGCGCCUGGAGGCAGCAGAGAUGUUUAUGUAACAGCAGCCAGGCAGCCUGGAGGAGCAGAUUUUCCAUAGAAGGAAGCGCGGGGCUGUGCAGCUCCCAGGCUGAGGACUCUGCCCACCACGACGUCCUCUGCUCCUGAGAAGAGAGUGGCCCAUUCGGUGUCCACCCGUCAGGCCACCCAGCAGCCAGGCACGCUCAUAAGCCCGCGUUACGGAUGGUGCGGCCGGGUGCACAGGCCCGAGGGAAGCACAGGCCUCGGCCUCCCAGCUCCCAACCCCUGCACCACCCACAGCCGGGAGUACCCCAUGGACAGCUGUGGCCGAGGAGAAGCCAGGGAUGAGGGGGAUGGGCCUCACCUCCCCACCAGCCUGGGAAGGGGGUAGGCCCCUGGCAAGUAGGAGGGAAGCUGAGGCUCAGAGACAUCAUGAGGAUGCCAGCUCAAGGCCCAGCCAGGCCUUGGUCCUCAGCUGCUGUCAUCCAGUAGGGUAAGUGGGACCCCCAGGAGGUGUUGGGGGACACUCCUCCCCUCCCCCACACUCACAGUCUGUUCACCGCCCAAGGCAGCAGGCUGGACUCGGUGCAGGGACCAUGGCUUGGCGUGGCCAGGUUGGAGUGGCCCCUGGGACUGAAAGCAGGGGGCGUGGGGGCUCUGAGGCGGGGCCGAGUGCGGGGACGUCCUGUGGCGGGUACCCUGCUGGGUCCUGGGUGGGGGCCACCACCAGGCAGCUGUGGGAACAUUCCAGACCACCUAGGAGUAGGGCCCCUUCACCGUUUGAAGCUGACUGUAAAAAACAUCUGACCUGUGUGCAAAGCUCAAGCCCAGAGGCCUCCAGGGUGUCCAGCCUCCAGGGUGCCUCCUACGCAGCCUCCACGUCCCCAUCCACUGCAGCCCCUGACCAUCGGGCACACCGUGGGGCCUUCGCUGGCCGCCGGGCCUCAGGUUCUGCUGCACCAAGUGAUUUUUAAAGCCCCAUCUGCCUUUCUCCACUUAUAAAGAACUUGGGACAUUUCCUCGAGGUUGGGCAUUUUUCCAGAUGUGGUUUCAGUGUCUCGCUUGCUACCUGGUCCCCUGUGCUGGGCGGUCCGCUGUGACGCACCUGGCAGUCCUUGCUCUAGGAUGGAUUCGGGCCGGCCCUUGUUCUGAGAACAGAGAACGGCCCUUGUUCUGAGGAGGCUGGGGUCUGGAAUCUGCUUCCUGGUCCCCUGCUGUGUGCAGACAGCCACCGUCACCCAGGCCCAGGGGUGCCUGCAGGUGCUGGGCAUCUCACCCUGGCCCCCACAGGGGCUCCCCAUGCCCUGCACCCCUCGGUCUGUGCCGGGGACUUCCCUGCUCUGCUGUUGCAGGCCUCGUCCUUUGCCGAGGGGGUCUCUUUCCCACGUGUCCCUGAGACUCCUCAGCCAUCCCAGAGGCUCUCGGCCGUCUGAGCACCCCUGACCAUGAAGCCUUCCUGGCCCACUCUCUGUGUGUGAGGCAGAGCCCAUCCCUACCAUUCCGACCCACACCAGAGGCUCCGGAAGGUUUGCUGACUGACCUGUGACUGCAAGAAGCUGAAGGAAUGUGGGCGCAGACCCGGCAGGGGCUUUUCUUGGUGCAAAGUCAACUGGCUGUCCAUGCAAGCCUGCUGCUGUGGCCAGCCCUCCCGCCAGGCGCCUGGUACCCUCCCUGGACCCAGUUGCCAGGACAGUGAUCCCCAGCUGUGGCCAGGACUCUGCCCGGGGCCCUGUCUACUCAGUGUCUCCAGUGGUCCCCAUGCAGAAACUGCCCCCCUUGCUGCCCAUGAGGCAUGGGAUAGGGUCAGCAUCCGAGAGGCAGGCCCUGCUGUUCCCCUCUGCACAGAGGCUGGGGGAGUGAGUUGCCCGGGCAAGUCCCCGGGCAGGCACUGGGCCUCCUGAGCAGGUGAGCUGAGAAGGCCCCAGCUGGUGUAGGCCUCGAGAGCUGCAGGACUGGCCAUGGGGCAGACCUGGCAUUGUCAUUCUAGAGCUGGGCCUGGGGGGUGGCUGGUGCAGUGCAGAUCUCAGGUGGAGGCCACCUGCCCGUCCUUUCCACGUGGCUCAGGGCUCAGACCCACCUGCCUGUCCCUGGAAGCCCCUAGACUGCUCAGAGCACAGACCUCAGUGGGAAAGACAGUAGAUAGGCCUGGGUAUGGUCUCCCAGCCCUGAGAAGUGGGGAGCCCACUCAGACCUUUCCAGGACCCCAGGUCCCCUCAGCAGCCCACAGAGCGUGGGUGGAGCCUGGGCUGGGGUUGGGUCACUUGGGAGCCAAAGGCCCAUUUCUGCUGCUUCCAGGGAGUCCCAGGGAGACGGCAGAGGCAGUGCCUGGCUGGGGCCCUGGUUGGCGUGCCGUUUGAGGGGUGCAUGCACUGGGAAGUUGGCCAGGCCUGCCCAAAUCAGGGGGCUUCCAGGAGGAGAGACAUCAGGAGGAUGGGCACAGAGGCGGCUUAGCACCAGGGCUGGCACCUCCAGGUAGGGGCUGUGGGGGGCUGGACCAGACAGGGAGGCUGUCACGAUGCCUGGCUGUUGGAUGGGGGCACAGAGGCUCUGAGUGGGGUGGCAGAGCUUGGCCACCAGGUCCAUCUGCACCCCCCAUGCCCCCUCACUACCCCCAGACCCCCAUGAUCCCAAACUACUCAGUCCCAGGGACCCCUGCAGAGCCUGUGGUGGGGGUGAUCUUCCACCCUGCCUGGCCCCUGCCCACCUCACCUCAGAACUUUCUCCAAAAAGUAAGAGCCCCGGGGGACGAAACUUCGAGGCUCCACCCCUUGGGCUCUGGUACAAACCCCGAGCCUCCUCCGAGGGCUGAGUCACUGGGAAAGCCGGGAUGGGCUGGCCCCUCCCCCUCCCUCUCCUUCCUUCCUCCUUCCCCCUUUCUCGGUCUCCCUCUUUUUCUCUUUGCUUUACUUCUCUUUCUUGCCUCCCUCUCUCCCUCUCUUCUUUCGUUCCUUUCAUCUUCUUCCCUUCCUCCGUCUUUGCCUUUCUUCUUUUCUGAGGGUAAAAAUAGCUGGAAAAC